RNAcentral lists this non-coding RNA (28 nucleotides) under Mus musculus (house mouse). Lineage: Eukaryota; Metazoa; Chordata; Mammalia; Rodentia; Muridae. The record is from RNAcentral.
GGUCAAUCUACAGAGCAAGAUCCAGGAU